This 88-nucleotide transfer RNA is filed under the name Caudoviricetes sp. RNAcentral's name for it is "tRNA-Tyr". It matches the Rfam family "tRNA". From Rfam's summary of the family: Transfer RNA (tRNA) molecules are approximately 80 nucleotides in length. Lineage: Duplodnaviria; Heunggongvirae; Uroviricota; Caudoviricetes. The record is from RNAcentral.
CGGUAGGUAUGCAAACUGGGUGAAGCAAGCUGUCUGUAAAACAGUGACGUAAGAGACGCUGGGGGUUCGAGUCCCUCCCUACCGACCA